Long non-coding RNA from Dreissena polymorpha, 1652 nucleotides. RefSeq lists it as uncharacterized. Lineage: Eukaryota; Metazoa; Mollusca; Bivalvia; Myida; Dreissenidae. The record is from RefSeq and is a predicted model, not a curated record. The transcript is spliced from 5 exons.
AGUCGGUCUAUUUUUAACCUAGAAAAAAUUGCAAAAGAAUUAAUUCCGUGUGGAUCGUAUUCUCCUAUGUCUUAUUAAUACAAAGUGUUAUUUUCAAGUCUCAACUCAAUGGGGAAAGUGUUUAAAUUAAACGUUAAAAAUGGCGAAAAAUGCAAAUUUUUCUGAUGUCAAAUGUAGUACACCAUACAUGGUUUUCCAAUAAAUAUGACGUCAUAAAGUGACGUGCAACAGUACAACAUGGCGGGCAAAGUCAGUUGACAGUUCUGCUGAUCGAUGUGGUAUCAACUGUGAUUUUAGGUUAUAAAGACGGUCACGUGGAUCAAUGAAAUAUAGAUUGCGGAAGAAAUCAGUUACUCUUGUUUAAUGUGGCUUGUUACCUGCAAAUAUCAAUACUUAGGUUCAUACAUCGACGAGAGAAGUUGAAAGAAGGCAGUGGGGGCUGGUUAUUGGGAAUUUUUUAAGCAAAGACGCAGUAGUGUAUAAAGUAUGUGACAAGACCAAAAGUUCAAGUAGCUUUGGCCAUCUUUAUCAUUCAGCAUGGGCAAUGUAUGAUGGAUGACAGGCGAAAAGCAGAAAUUUAAGAUCUGAUGAGACGUUUGAUAUCAAGUGUGACUGCUUUUUUUACGCUAAAUCGGACAAAAAGUUUAAGAUCAGAUGAGACGUUUGAUAUCAAGUGUGUCUGCUUUUUCUACGCUAAAUCGUAUAAAUCAGAUAUAAGGCGAGUAAAUCAGACAAAGAAAGUAUCGAAUAUCAAGAAGAAUGUCCUUGGACCAGAGUUAUGCAACAUGCUUCCGUUCAUACAUGCAUACACAGGUUGUGAUGCGAUUUCUAUGAUAUAUGGUAUCAGCAAAGAAGCCGUACUGAAGCUUUUCAGAACCAGUCCCAAUUGUUCAGACAGAUCAUUGAGAUAUUAAAUGAAGAAGAACCAGACGUUAACAAGAUAACAAAUCAUGGUACAGAGGCAAUAUUUUUUCUCAACAACGGUGAUACUUUAGACGGGCUCGAUAUCCUGAGAUUCUGGAAGUUUACCCAGAAGGUUUGCACAACUUGUCAAGCAAAACGGCUGCCUUUCGCUUUCAAUCACUGCGCACAUACCUACAGACACAGAUAUGGCGAGGGCACAACACACUGGAUGCAGUAGAUUUGGGUUGGGAUAUAUCCAACUACAAAUUAAUUCCAGUAAGGACACAUCUGUCUGCUCCUGAACCUCUACUCAAAGUAAUACGCUGUAAUUGCCAACAAAGUUGUGACUCACAACGAUAUACGUGUAGGAAACAUGGACUUGAUUGUUCACAAGAUUGUUCACAAGGCUGUGGGAACUGUCGAUGAAACUGUUCAAAUUCCUCCGACAUCAAUGAUCAUGAGGAAAUUGUGUCUGAAACCUGAACGUAUUAUAUGUACGACCUGUAUAAAGAUUUAAAAUUUUUAAAAGGAUUCGAUGCAUUUAUGAAAAUAUUUGAAAGCAUUCAGGUUUUUCAAUAAUUAUACACAUCAUUUAUUGGAAUGUUUACGUAGCAAAUGGCAUUGACACAUUAUAAUUGAUUCAAUAUGUAUAGAUUUAAAAUAGUUUAGAAUGCAGUACGUUUAGUGUGCGCAUAUAUAUUUAUCGUUUCAAAUAAGAAAAUGCCAGAUUUUCCAAUGAGUUUAUUUGA